CAGCCUUCUGGAAAGACAAAACCAGCAUCAUUUGUCUCACCUCUCCUCGGAGUGCCGAAGCUUCCCUUUCCUCAUUAGGAACAUUCCUUUUACCUCAAAGAGCUAUUGUGAAGAAUGAAAAGCAGAAAUAGCUGGGAAGCACUUCACGCCAGCCAAGGAAAUAGAUGGGGGUCUCUGUCUGUCGUCCAGGCUGGAGAGCAGUGGUGUGAUCAUAAUUCAUGAAGCUUUGAACUCCUGGGCUCAAGUGAUCCUCCCACCUCCGCUUCCCGAGUAGCUGGAACCACAGCACCUGGCUCUUUAACGAAUAAACACUCCUUGGUUUGUUGUUUGCCUUUGGUUAAAUUCCAAAGCACUGAAAUGGUUGUUUCUGGCUUUCAUUCAGAUUUACAGCCAUGUGAUACCUUCUGACAUGCUAUGAUACAACAAGAAGACCCUCACCAGAUGUGGCCCCCUUGAUCUUGGACUUCCCAGCCUCCAGAACUAAAUGCAUACCUGAAUUUAAUCGUGAGGAAACGUCAGAGACGCCAGAAUUGAGGAAUGUUCAACAAAUAACUGGUACUCUUCAAAAGUGUCAAGGUCAUGAAAGACAAAGGAAGACUCAAGAACUAGCCCAGAUUGAAGGAGACAUGAUGACUAGGAUGACAUGUGAUCCUGGAGCAGAAAAAGGACAUUAGUGGGGCAAUUGGUAAAAUUUGA
Rhinopithecus roxellana (golden snub-nosed monkey) is the source of this 696-nucleotide long non-coding RNA. RefSeq lists it as uncharacterized. The transcript has 4 exons. The record is from RefSeq and is a predicted model, not a curated record. Lineage: Eukaryota; Metazoa; Chordata; Mammalia; Primates; Cercopithecidae.